UGUUACACACGCUCACGCAGCCCUCUUCCACACCUAUAUAUCAGCCACUUUUCGCUCAUAGGUGAUCUGCUUUUAUAAGCUCCCUAGCACUUUUAGCAUUUUCUUUUUUCUUCGCGUUCUAUCGACGUGCUGCGCUACCAUGGACGCUGCGAACCGCGGUCUUUCCUACCUCUGUUGUGUCGGCGGCUCCUUGAAGCCGUGGGCCGAGGGCCAAGACGAAGGGGAUGACAAGUAUGAGAGCCUCCAGGGCCCGGGAGGUCGAAACCUCACCGGCUCCGUCAACGACAAACGUAUUUGCGUUCCCCAGAAGAUCGAUCCUAAGACCUUCUUUGCAAAUGAGCGCACGUUCUUGAAGUGGCUGUCUAUUUCCGUGAUGAUUGGCCUGAUGUCUCUGACACUGUUGAACUUUGGCGAUUCCACUAACAACGGUGCGGAGCUAGCUGGCCUGGUGUUGCUCCCAGUCUCAAUUGUGUUCAUGGUAUACUCGCUGUUUAUCUUCCGCGAUCGCGCCAACAAGAUCUAUAUGCGAGAGCCAAUGCGCUACGACGACACACGCGGCCCAACGCUGCUAAUACUUGUGCUAGGCUCAGCGCUGGCUUUGGCGACGCUAUUCUCGCUGCAGCGUCAGUACACGCAGACAGUUGUCUCCUCCUUUUCAGAGUCCGCGCGCUUCUCGCAGUAGUAGUGAUAGGGGACUAGCCAUGGGGGGAGGGUGCAGGGGCUGUAAAACUCUUGGGAUGCACUCCAUGCUUCGCAUUGACCCAGCAACAAUCCUAACAAAAAGAAACCAGAUGUUUUCCGGUUCUCAGUUUCUUUUUCGUUUUGUUUUCGGAACUUUCAAGUGGUGUAGUGGGGCGCGUGCAACGGUGACUUUUUCUUACUACUGCUGGUCUCUGUUCUCUAACAGGCUUGUAUCGACAUCUGUGUGUGUGUGUGUGUGUGUGUGUUACUCCGAACCACUUUUCACGGGCAGGAAAGCGGCGUUCAUGCAGCUGUGCAUAGUGCGGUGGUACUACUCGUAAUGCGGAAAGGAAAAUUAAACAAGGUGUUGUAAAGCAGAAUGUCUUCUCUUGUUGCUCGGAAAGACAACCACCCACAAACUUGCACACGCUCGCGGGAAGGGAGGGAAAAGAAAGGGAAAGGGAAGCGGCCCGGAUGCGCGAAGCUGUGGUGCAACGAUACCUGAACACCGUGUACGCAGCACGGGAGGAGGAGGUCAGUUGUUGCCGUGGGCGGUAUGAGCGAGAACCCCAACAAGCCACGGCAGCCAAAGGUGCACAAGAGUGACGACAAAAAUCGAAAGCCGCAGGCAUGGGGCCACACACCCUUGCUGUUUUUGUUGUUGUUGUUUCCGCGUUGUCUGCGGUGCCUUCUCUCUGCUCCUCUCCCCCCUUCCUCCUUCCCUCUCUUUUGCGAAACCCUUUUCGCUUAGCUUCUGUGGUGACGUGUAGCCGUGAAGGAGCUCUCUACUGAAAUGCAACGUAAUAGCAUACGCAUACGCAUACACAUCCAUGCAUGCAUACACGUAGAAUGACUCUGUGAACGAACUCGAAGAGAAAUCUAAUGAGGUAAGCAACUGCAAAAGGAAUAGGAGGAGGAGGAAUGGAAAGCAAGCGUCCGCUGCUGCAAGAUCUGUGGUGGCUUCUGUAGCCCCGGUUGCGGCUGCGUCUCCAUGUUCUUUUUUUUUUCUCGCUUCUUCAAAGAUUAUUAUGUAUGAAUGCACUUUAUAUAAUUCGCUGUUGUUGUCUGACCUCGUCGUUCCAGCAAAGGCGAGGAAAGAGGCAAGCAAGCAAAAGGCAGGCCCGAAAAACAACAACAAAACAAUAUAUCAAAUACAUCCAUACAUAAACGAUCGGCACACACACACACACACAAAAAGGCAGAACUCCCCCCCCUCUGCACAAGCGUCCACACCAACAGCGCGGCAUUACCUGUCGCGCUGAAACAUGCCGACUCGAUCGCCCUGGUUUCUACACGCUCUUCUCUUUUUUUUCUUGUCAUUAAAGAAGGCCUGUCUUCCCACUCUUUUCAUUUUUUUUUGCUCCCCGUGGGCAUGUGGCCAUGUGUAGGUGCAUAUGCUUGAGCGUGUCUUGUUGCUUCUCUGCCGCCGUUUCCUUUUUCCUCCUUUGGUGUCUCUAAUGCCACGCUUGCUCACUGUAGAGAGGAAAAAAAAGAAUAAACAGCAAACAACUCGCUCUCUGGUCUUUUCAUUGUUGUUUACGCGAUGGUAUAAUGCGCUUGCGCGUAUGUACCGUGAUCGCGCGGGCAUACCCGUGUGUGCGCGUGCGGCGUAGGAUGGCGGAGGGAGAGCAGAACGAGGGCAGCGGGAAACCAGCGUUUUUGUUUGUUUGCGAGGUACGCUACGCUGAUGACUCUGGCGAGAGCCAAGACGCAUUUUACUCGCGGUAGCUCAGCCUUUAAUGUUGGGUUUCGUGUGUCGCACACGUUUGCCCUCUCCCCAUCCCCGCUCCGUGUACUGUCACUGAAGCUUCGUGUUGUCCCCCUCCCCCUUCUCCCCCAUCGGUGUCUGUUUCUAUGAUACCGUUGGCGCAGUGGUUGGAGCCUCAACAACGACAAAAAAGAAUUGCACACGCGUGGAGGUUUGAGAGCAGGAGACGAGACGUAGCACCCAUCACCGCCUUAGCAUCCUUCUCUCGCCCUUUUCUGCUCUUCGGUUUCACUCUGUUCGUUUCACAGGUUUGCGCUGCAAGAAGUGCAGCGAUGAGCUGAAUGCUUUCCUGCGCCGUCUGUAGAGGCUAAACCCUCACCAAAAAAAAGCCGCAGCGGCAUCGAAACCAAUAAAGAAGCAGGAGAGGUAGAGGCUACGCGAGGCACGAGUGCACAUGAUGUCAUCUUGGCUUUCCGGUGGAAGCGAUCGAUGCGAUCUCGUGGCGGGUGUGCACCCUCUAGGAGGGUGGGCAUGACGAAGAAGCACGAAGGAGGGAUAGAAAAGGGUAUGCGACGAUCGGCAGCCUCUGCCCUCAGCGUUCUCCCCUACGUAUGGACAGAAGGCUUCAACAUGAGGGCAAGGGUGGAGAGGUAUAUGCGCGCGCUUCUGUGGGAUCAUACGUCGGCGCAGUCGUAGCACAUCGACCUAGUCUUUCUCUUCCCCAUAGCUGUCUCCGCUGUCA
RNAcentral lists this unclassified non-coding RNA (3131 nucleotides) under Leishmania donovani. RNAcentral's name for it is "gene:LdHU3.14.1370(CDS-product:Domain_of_unknown_ function_(DUF202)_putative)". The record is from RNAcentral. Lineage: Eukaryota; Euglenozoa; Kinetoplastea; Trypanosomatida; Trypanosomatidae.